GACGAACGCUGGCGGCGUGCUUAACACAUGCAAGUCGAACGGAAAGGCCAGUGCUUGCACUGGUGCUCGAGUGGCGAACGGGUGAGUAACACGUGGGUGAUCUGCCUUGCACUCUGGGAUAAGCUUGGGAAACUGGGUCUAAUACCGGAUAGGAACCGUCUUUAGUGUGUUGGUUGGAAAGUUUUUUCGGUGCAAGAUGAGCUCGCGGCCUAUCAGCUUGUUGGUGGGGUAAUGGCCUACCAAGGCGUCGACGGGUAGCCGGCCUGGGAGGGUGUACGGCCACAAUGGGACUGAGAUACGGCCCAGACUCCUACGGGAGGGAAGAGUGGGGGAUAUUGCAAAAUGGGCGGAAGCCCGAUGCCGCGACGCCGGGUGGGGGAUGACGGGCUUCGGGUUGUAAACUCCUUUCGACCGGGAAGAAGCGUUAUGUGACGGUACCUGUAGAAGAAGCACCGGCUAACUACGUG
This 467-nucleotide ribosomal RNA is filed under the name uncultured bacterium. Its description in RNAcentral is "partial 16S ribosomal RNA". It matches the Rfam family "Bacterial small subunit ribosomal RNA", at positions 28 to 507 of the family's 1533-position model. The record is from RNAcentral.